RNAcentral lists this transfer RNA (80 nucleotides) under Vibrio celticus. RNAcentral describes it as "tRNA-Ser". Lineage: Bacteria; Pseudomonadati; Pseudomonadota; Gammaproteobacteria; Vibrionales; Vibrionaceae. The record is from RNAcentral.
GGUGAAAUAGUACGGCCUAGGUUCGAUGCUUGAAGCAUUGGGAUGAUUAGGAACGCUGGGUUCAAGCCCAUUUUCGCCGC